GACGAACGCUGGCGGCGUGCUUAACACAUGCAAGUCGAACGAAAAGAGGGAAAGAGCUUGCUCUUUCCGUAAUUGAGUGGCAAACGGGUGAGUAACACGUAAACAACCUGCCUUCAGGAUGGGGACAACAGACGGAAACGACUGCUAAUACCGAAUAAGUUCCAAGGGCCGCAUGGCCCAUGGAAGAAAAGGUGGCCUCUACCUGUAAGCUAUCGCCUGAAGAGGGGUUUGCGUCUGAUUAGCUGGUUGGAGGGGUAACGGCCCACCAAGGCGACGAUCAGUAGCCGGUCUGAGAGGAUGAACGGCCACACUGGAAUUGAGACACGGUCCAGACUCCUACGGGAGGCAGCAGUGGGGAAUCUUCCGCAAUGGGCGAAAGCCUGACGGAGCAACGCCGCGUGAGUGAUGACGGCCUUCGGGUUGUAAAACUCUGUGAUCCGGGACGAAAAGGCAGAGUGCGAAGAACAAACUGCAUUGACGGUACCGGAAAAGCAAGCCACGGCUAACUACGUG
Molecule: ribosomal RNA, 513 nt
Filed under: uncultured bacterium
Lineage: Bacteria
Description: partial 16S ribosomal RNA
Rfam family: Bacterial small subunit ribosomal RNA
Source: RNAcentral